GAUGAACGCUAUCUACAGGCUUAACACAUGCAAGUCGAGGGGCAGCAUGGUCUUAGCUUGCUAAGGCCGAUGGCGACCGGCGCACGGGUGAGUAACACGUAUCCAACCUGCCGUCUACUCUUGGACAGCCUUCUGAAAGGAAGAUUAAUACAAGAUGGCAUCAUGAGUCCGCAUGUUCACAUGAUUAAAGGUAUUCCGGUAGACGAUGGGGAUGCGUUCCAUUAGAUAAUAGGCGGGGUAACGGCCCACCUAGUCUUCGAUGGAUAGGGGUUCUGAGAGGAAGGUCCCCCACAUUGGAACUGAGACACGGUCCAAACUCCUACGGGAGGCAGCAGUGAGGAAUAUUGGUCAAUGGGCGAGAGCCUGAACCAGCCAAGUAGCGUGAAGGAUGACUGCCCUAUGGGUUGUAAACUUCUUUUAUAAAGGAAUAAAGUCGGGUAUGGAUACCCGUUUGCAUGUACUUUAUGAAUAAGGAUCGGCUAACUCCGUGCCAGCAGCCGCGGUAAUACGGAGGAUCCGAGCGUUAUCCGGAUUUAUUGGGUUUAAAGGGAGCGUAGAUGGAUGUUUAAGUCAGUUGUGAAAGUUUGCGGCUCAACCGUAAAAUUGCAGUUGAUACUGGAUAUCUUGAGUGCAGUUGAGGCAGGCGGAAUUCGUGGUGUAGCGGUGAAAUGCUUAGAUAUCACGAAGAACUCCGAUUGCGAAGGCAGCCUGCUAAGCUGCAACUGACAUUGAGGCUCGAAAGUGUGGGUAUCAAACAGGAUUAGAUACCCUGGUAGUCCACACGGUAAACGAUGAAUACUCGCUGUUUGCGAUAUACUGCAAGCGGCCAAGCGAAAGCGUUAAGUAUUCCACCUGGGGAGUACGCCGGCAACGGUGAAACUCAAAGGAAUUGACGGGGGCCCGCACAAGCGGAGGAACAUGUGGUUUAAUUCGAUGAUACGCGAGGAACCUUACCCGGGCUUAAAUUGCAGAUGAAUUACGGUGAAAGCCGUAAGCCGCAAGGCAUCUGUGAAGGUGCUGCAUGGUUGUCGUCAGCUCGUGCCGUGAGGUGUCGGCUUAAGUGCCAUAACGAGCGCAACCCUUGUUGUCAGUUACUAACAGGUUCCGCUGAGGACUCUGACAAGACUGCCAUCGUAAGAUGUGAGGAAGGUGGGGAUGACGUCAAAUCAGCACGGCCCUUACGUCCGGGGCUACACACGUGUUACAAUGGGGGGUACAGAGGGCCGCUACCACGCGAGUGGAUGCCAAUCCCCAAAACCUCUCUCAGUUCGGACUGGAGUCUGCAACCCGACUCCACGAAGCUGGAUUCGCUAGUAAUCGCGCAUCAGCCACGGCGCGGUGAAUACGUUCCCGGGCCUUGUACACACCGCCCGUCAAGCCAUGGGAGCCGGGGGUACCUGAAGUGCGUAACCGCGAGGAGCGCCCUAGGGUAAAACUGGUGACUGGGGCUAAAU
This 1454-nucleotide ribosomal RNA is filed under the name uncultured organism. Its description in RNAcentral is "SSU rRNA". It matches the Rfam family "Bacterial small subunit ribosomal RNA". The record is from RNAcentral.